RNAcentral lists this ribosomal RNA (428 nucleotides) under Micrococcus luteus. RNAcentral's name for it is "bacterial SSU rRNA". It matches the Rfam family "Bacterial small subunit ribosomal RNA", at positions 28 to 456 of the family's 1533-position model. The record is from RNAcentral. Lineage: Bacteria; Bacillati; Actinomycetota; Actinomycetes; Micrococcales; Micrococcaceae.
GAUGAACGCUGGCGGCGUGCUUAACACAUGCAAGUCGAACGAUGAAGCCCAGCCUGCUGGGCGGAUUAGUGGCGAACGGGUGAGUAACACGUGAGUAACCUGCCCUUGACUCUGGGAUAAGCCCGGGAAACUGGGUCUAAUACCGGAUAGGAGCGCCUGUCGCAUGACGGGUGCUGGAAAGAUUUUUCGGUCAUGGAUGGACUCGCGGCCUAUCAGCUUGUUGGUGAGGUAACGGCUCACCAAGGCGACGACGGGUAGCCGGCCUGAGAGGGUGACCGGCCACACUGGGACUGAGACACGGCCCAGACUCCUACGGGAGGCAGCAGUGGGGAAUAUUGCACAAUGGGCGGAAGCCUGAUGCAGCGACGCCGCGUGAGGGAUGACGGCCUUCGGGUUGUAAACCUCUUUCAGUAGGGAAGAAGCGAAAG